This 417-nucleotide non-coding RNA is filed under the name Sus scrofa (pig). Its description in RNAcentral is "Eukaryotic large subunit ribosomal RNA". It matches the Rfam family "Eukaryotic large subunit ribosomal RNA", at positions 3002 to 3399 of the family's 3401-position model. The record is from Rfam by way of RNAcentral. Lineage: Eukaryota; Metazoa; Chordata; Mammalia; Artiodactyla; Suidae.
GUUACUUUUCUUUUUUUGUGUGUUGAGAACACCUAAGAUGUAUGCUCUGUGUAUGUGCUUGGCUAAAGAGCCAAUGGGGUGAAGCUAGCAUCUGUGGGAUUAUGACUGAACGCCUCUAAGUCAGAAUACUGCCCAGGUUGAGUGAUACAGCAGCACCAGGGAAGACUUGGUUGGUCUUAUAUAACUUGUUUCCUCACUGUGCUACGGCACUGGGUUCCAGUGCAGAGAGCCCUUUGUCCUGGACACACUGCAUGGCUGAAAAGGCGGCCACACCUCACCCAUCAUGCACUGCAUGCUUGUGGGGAAACUGGUACUAAAGCAUUUGUAGACAACCUGCUUCUGGGUCAGGGUUUCAUACCUAGCAGAGCAGCUCUCUUUCUAUGGUCUAUCAAAAGUCAGCCCUCAACACAAGGGUUU